GAUGAACGCUGGCGGCAGGCUUAAUACAUGCAGGUUGAACGGUAACAUGUUGUAGCAAUACGAUGAUGACGAGUGGCGCACGGGUGCGUAACACGUGUGUAACCUACCUUAUACAGGAACAUAACGUUGAGAAAUCGGCGCUAACAUUCCAUAAUAUUAUUUGUAGGCAUCUAUGAAUAAUUAAAACUCCGGUGGUAUAAGAUGGGCACGCGUUCCAUUAGCUAGUUGGUAAGGUAACGGCUUACCAAGGCAACGAUGGAUAGGGGUUCUGAGAGGAUAAUCCCCCACACUGGAACUGAGACACGGUCCAGACUCCUACGGGAGGCAGCAGUAAGGAAUAUUGGGCAAUGGAGGCAACUCUGACCCAGCCAUGCCGCGUGCAGGAAGACGGCCCUAUGGGUUGUAAACUGCUUUUAAUAGGGAUUAAAGUCGACUACGUGUAGUUGUUUGCAAGUACCUAUAGAAUAAGCAUCGGCUAACUCCGUGCCAGCAGCCGCGGUAAUACGGAGGAUGCAAGCGUUAUCCGGAUUUAUUGGGUUUAAAGGGUGCGCAGGCGGACUAAUAAGUCAGUGGUGAAAUUUACAUGCUUAACAUGUGACGUGCCAUUGAUACUGUUAGACUAGUAUAC
Molecule: ribosomal RNA, 628 nt
Filed under: uncultured Bacteroidota bacterium
Lineage: Bacteria; Pseudomonadati; Bacteroidota
Description: bacterial SSU rRNA
Rfam family: Bacterial small subunit ribosomal RNA
Source: RNAcentral